CUUUCCUCCUCGACUUACAGUACAUUAUUAAUCCAUGUUCCAAAUUGAUCCUGCAGCCAGGUAUACAGUAGACCAUAUUUAUAUGAACCAUUUUCUUUAGCACCUUGCCUUUCAUUAAUUAAUUAUUAACAUGCACCAUCCAAGCCUUUCAUUCCCCACAGAUUCCAAGCGUAUCUCACAAUGUGACAACAGAUUCUCAAAAGACAGUCUCCUCGUUGUCAUCGUCGCCAUCAUACAGUUUCCAGCCCCCGUCUUCUACGCCACCUCGUUCACCUCGCUCACCUCACUAGGUUACUUCGCUUUGCCGCAUCUACCCUGGACCCUCCCCUGAUCCCACCUCGUCCUUUACCGACCCUCCACCAUUGGCUGUACCCCGCAUCUCCCUUGUCACACUUUACCCACAAAGUUUCUUUACUCUCUUUGGCCCAUAGCGCUCGAUGACAAGGGAACAAGCUCAACCCUUGUCCUCUGGCGACCCCUUUGCACCGGUAUAAAAACAUUCCUUCGGGAACAUAAAGGAUUCCUGGUGUCAAAUAAAAGGUGCGGAUGAUCAAUUCCUUGAAUGGAAACGAGAAGUAUACUUGGCUCCUUACGACGUCCCUACUAAGGACCAGGCCGAAGACAUCCCUGGAUAUCUCCGUGAUACGUCAUUCUUAAGGACUGUGAAGUGAACUCCCUUGGAUGGGAGUUAGUAUAAUUCAGAUGGCAGGAGGCAGUUCAUGGCUUAAGGGAGGAGCAGUCCCGUAGGAGGGUCCAGGGAGAAAAAUGAUUUCAACCAUAACGACCCCUUCUCUUUCUUAGGGAAUGAAGAGGUUGAAUGCAGAGUGCUCCUCUGGGUCGGACGUGGUCGGACGCCUCCAGGUUCGGUUUGCCAACUAGGUUCGAAUGGAUUCGAAUGGGUUUGGGACUUUAGGAAAGCUAUAUAUAUAUAUAUAUAUAUAUAUAUAUAUAUAUAUAUAUACACACAUUUAUUUUCCCCAAGGAAUACUCAAGGUCCUUAAUUGCUGAGACUCCGGGCUGCAUUGUUGCAUGCAAAUUGCAAGCUGUACGAAGCCGUCGACGGGAAAGCGUUUCUACGCCUGAGAGAAUCUGGCUGCAGUUGGCCGCUUCCUUUAAUCGAGACAAAUUACUAGAACCAUGGAACGUGAGCCGUGAUCGAACGAGUCGGGGUUAACGGGGUCAUGGAUCACGGAUAAGGAAGAUGGCAAUAUAACUCUGAGUUAAUCCACGAAGUAUGCUGUUAUAGACCGGUAUAUCAGUUAUAGUAGUAUAAGUCAUUUUUGAACCGAAGUUCGAUAACGUAGCAGGAACGAUAAUUAUAUUGAAUCGUCAUCAAUGAAAUAUAGAUAACACAGGUAACAGGGCAAACGAAAAAUUAAAUCGUGAUUGUUAUACUUUCCAUGGUCAUACUUUUGGCCAAUGCAUAAAUGAGAGUAUAAAAUUUUAAAUGCCUCCCAAGUGAGCUUUACGCCAGGGCAGGAUUAAUUUGUGCGUACACCAUCGAUUAUAAAUUCGCAUCGAAACUGUAUUCGGCAGUCAUUAUUGCCUGGCUGUCAAAUAUAUUAUAAAUGUUUAUGCUUCAUCAA
Molecule: long non-coding RNA, 1586 nt
Organism: Cephus cinctus (wheat stem sawfly)
Lineage: Eukaryota; Metazoa; Arthropoda; Insecta; Hymenoptera; Cephidae
Exons: 3
Source: RefSeq, a predicted model, not a curated record